Molecule: small RNA, 55 nt
Filed under: Sinorhizobium meliloti 2011
Lineage: Bacteria; Pseudomonadati; Pseudomonadota; Alphaproteobacteria; Hyphomicrobiales; Rhizobiaceae
Description: putative ncRNA
Source: RNAcentral
GCAGCGCGCAAUGAUAUCGACGAUCGCGUUGCCGAUCGUCAGAACGUCGUAUUUU